GACGAACGCUGGCGGCGUGCCUAAUACAUGCAAGUCGAGCGGACAGAAGGGAGCUUGCUCCCGGAUGUUAGCGGCGGACGGGUGAGUAACACGUGGGUAACCUGCCUGUAAGACUGGGAUAACUCCGGGAAACCGGAGCUAAUACCGGAUAGUUCCUUGAACCGCAUGGUUCAAGGAUGAAAGACGGUUUCGGCUGUCACUUACAGAUGGACCCGCGGCGCAUUAGCUAGUUGGUGAGGUAACGGCUCACCAAGGCGACGAUGCGUAGCCGACCUGAGAGGGUGAUCGGCCACACUGGGACUGAGACACGGCCCAGACUCCUACGGGAGGCAGCAGUAGGGAAUCUUCCGCAAUGGACGAAAGUCUGACGGAGCAACGCCGCGUGAGUGAUGAAGGUUUUCGGAUCGUAAAGCUCUGUUGUUAGGGAAGAACAAGUGCAAGAGUAACUGCUUGCACCUUGACGGAC
RNAcentral lists this ribosomal RNA (466 nucleotides) under Bacillus sp. BTSI35. RNAcentral describes it as "bacterial SSU rRNA". It matches the Rfam family "Bacterial small subunit ribosomal RNA", at positions 28 to 477 of the family's 1533-position model. Lineage: Bacteria; Bacillati; Bacillota; Bacilli; Caryophanales; Bacillaceae. The record is from RNAcentral.